AUAAAAAGGAGAAUGGAGGAUUAGAUGGGAGAGGUGUGUUGCGUGUGGAGUGCAGUAUUGGCAUAGGCAUCAGCAUCGGUGGUGGGUGGCGAGGGAAAGAGAAUGGAAGAAUCAUCGAUAGAGGAGUCGGUGGCGAGCGUUGUGGAAGAAGCGAAGGAGCUUCAAGAAGCUGUUUCUGCUCACAUCUCCAAAGCCUCAAGCGAUGAGCAACCUCUUCGCCAGCGUGCGCUUCGCCUCGACGCCAGAAUCCAUUCUCUUCGUUCCUCUCUCGAUUCUCUCCUCUCCAACAAACUCAUCCCUCCCUCCCUUGCCGAUAAGUUGGAUGAAGAUUUGCAAAGAGCCAGAUGCAUUAUCGUCGACGGUGACGCUUCCUCGUUUCUCCCUGGCCAUGCACAAGGAAGCUUUCUGAGGAUGUUUUUGGGUCCUAUCAACGUGCGUGCCUCUCGGAAGGAUGUCCAGCUUAAGGUUAAAGAGGAAUACAACAGUUACAGGGAUAGAACUGCCCUGCUAUUCCUGCUUUUUCCGGCAAUACUGCUUAUUCUAAGAUCUUGGGUUUGGGCUGGAUGUUUGCCAGCUUUUCCUGUUCAGAUUUACCAGGCCUGGCUGUUAUUCCUUUACACUGGUUUGGCUCUGCGAGAGAACAUAUUAAGAGUCAAUGGAAGUGAUAUUCGUCCAUGGUGGAUAUAUCAUCAUUAUUGUGCUAUGGUAAUGGCCCUCGUCAGUCUCACUUGGGAAAUUAAAGGACAACCAGACUGUGCAAAAAAGCAGAGAGGUGUACAACUUUUCUUACAAUGGGCUAUGAUGCAAGGAGUUGCAAUGCUUUUGCAAAAUAGAUAUCAACGACAAAGGCUUUAUACUCGUAUUGCAUUGGGAAAGGCUAAGAGGAUGGAUGUUGUGUGGGGGGAAACAGCUGGUGUGGAUGGCCAACUGUGGUUAUUGUGUCCCAUACUUUUCACAUUGCAGGGAUUUGAAGCAUAUAUUGGGCUAUUGUUGCUUAGGACUGCAUUUGUUCGGGUUGUUUCCGAGUGGCAGGUAAUAUUUUGUGGUGUCCUGUUGGUCUUAAUGGCUGUUGGGAACUUUGCAAAUACAGUACAGACUCUGAUGGCGAAGUCAAGAUUUAAGGCAAAGAUGAGGAGGAGCAAGAGCAAGCAGAGGCUGAAUUAGCAAGUUGUGACCUACCUUUUGAGCUUUAUUAGGAUCAGGAUUUUUCGCACUCAUUUCAGUUUUGACCACAGUGCAAGCUGGGUGAUGAUUGCAUCUUCUGGUCACCUCCAUGAUGUUUUUAGUGCAUGUUUGUGUUUACGUUGGUAGCAGAGGUUGAGGGAAAGCAGAUAUUUCUUGCUUGGAAAAGCUCAUUUAAAGUGUUUUGGUAAUCCUGCCGACGGAGUUUUGGUUUACAUGCUAUCAGGCCCUUGGGCUUGCUUUUAAGUACUAUGUUGACUCGAGAGUCCGGGGAAAUGGUUGAUAAUGUUAGUAACCCAAAUUUUAAAAUUUUAAACUAGAGAUGGCUAGUUAGGGCCCCUUUCGUGCUGUGCUAUUUCCCCCUAACCAAUUGUAGAGCUUGCCAAAAUGUUUUUGUUGGAUCUGAUCAUGUUCAUUUAAAACGGGAUGAGAUAUUGUCCCGUAAAAUGUAUAAAUUUAUUUAUAUUCGAUUUUCUGGUGCACUAUAAGUUUAUUUGUAAAAAUGUAAUCAAAUAAAACAGUGAGAUACUAAAUAGGUGAUACAUACUUUAUCCUCU
Abrus precatorius (Indian licorice) is the source of this 1739-nucleotide RNA transcript. It is a transcript of the gene named transmembrane protein 120 homolog, with no coding region annotated. The transcript is spliced from 11 exons. Lineage: Eukaryota; Viridiplantae; Streptophyta; Magnoliopsida; Fabales; Fabaceae. The record is from RefSeq and is a predicted model, not a curated record.